GCUUGUCUCAAAGAUUAAGCCAUGCAUGUCUAAGUAUAAACGAUUUUAUACGUGAAACUGCGAAUGGCUCAUUAUAUCAGUUAUAGUUUAUUUGAUGGUCCUUACUACUUGGAUAACCGUAGUAAUUCUAGAGCUAAUACAUGACUCAAAGACCGACUUACGAAGGUCUGUGUUUAUUAGAUGGAAACCAAAGCGGGGAAACCCGGAUUUAUGGUGAUUCAUAAUAACCCUCCGAUCGGCUAUGCCGACGCAUCAUUCAAGUUUCUGCCCUAUCAGCUUUGGACGGUAGGGUAUUGGCCUACCGUGGCUUUAACGGGUAACGGAGAAUUAGGGUUCGAUUCCGGAGAGGGAGCCUGAGAAAUGGCUACCACAUCCAAGGAAGGCAGCAG
RNAcentral lists this ribosomal RNA (389 nucleotides) under uncultured Chrysophyceae. Its description in RNAcentral is "partial small subunit ribosomal RNA". It matches the Rfam family "Eukaryotic small subunit ribosomal RNA", at positions 30 to 431 of the family's 1831-position model. The record is from RNAcentral. Lineage: Eukaryota; Chrysophyceae.